Molecule: long non-coding RNA, 1249 nt
Organism: Myotis brandtii (Brandt's bat)
Lineage: Eukaryota; Metazoa; Chordata; Mammalia; Chiroptera; Vespertilionidae
Exons: 3
Source: RefSeq, a predicted model, not a curated record
GCGCCCCGGAUGGUGACUCCAGGUCUGUUGCGUGCCCAGAGCUGUCUCCUCCAGCUGUUUGGCUGAGAGUCUAACCCUGCAAUUACUUGAGUCGGCCGAAUCUCCCUCCCGCCCUGAUCUGUAAAGUGAAAGCAUGGAGAAAAGCAUUCCUCUGAAAGGCAAAGGAGAGAAGAGCAGUGACUAUGUGUGAAGAACCAGGUAAAUGCCAUCACCAAAUGCCAUCACCAGCCAGAGCUCCCGGCUGCUGAGUACUUUGUACAGGGUUCCCUGGUUUCAACUCCUGCUUUCCUUAAGCUUUCUGGAUUCUCCGUGUACUUCUCUUCAAGUUAUCUCUACUAGUUGCCUCUUUGGUUGGACCACCCACCACCAAAAACAAACUGUCUGGUGAUUCUCUGGCUAAAUUGAAAACAACAGGAAGGCAACAUUCAGGAAAAAAUUGACUAACCUCAAGAACUGUGCAGUGUAUGCGUGUAUAGUCCUGGACUAAAAGUUGGGCAUGUAAAGAUGGUAUUGAAACCGGCCCAAAGGACCUUCAGGCUUUUGCCUGCCACCCUGAAGCCAAACACCGGACACAGGUUUUAUUGCUGAUAUCUGGGGACACAAUGUUUCAGACCUGGCUAGCCAUCAACAUUUGCUGGACUACUGUGAUCAAGACCGGUGAAAAGGAGAACUGGAACUGCUACUACCUGAAUGUGUCUUGUGACCUGGUUGAACUGUUUUUUUAUAGAGAAGCAGCCAAUAGUGACCCAGUGAUACUCUUCACUGGCCAAACCACAUCUGGAGUUCUUUAUUCAGUUCUAGAUUGAGCACUUUAAGAAGACCUCAAGGAAGUUGGAAUUAUUUCAGAGGAGAACAAAAUGAUGGAAAGAACUCAAAAGUACCACCAAUGAAGAAGUAGUGAUUGAACUUGGAAGGAUUUUUAUAGAAAGGAAAAAGCUACUGGGACUACCUCCAAAUAAGUAAAGAUUCAUCAGAUGACAGAUUUGUUUCAUGUGUUCUUAAAAAGUGCACACUUAAGAGAAACAAAUUUCAGAUCCUGAAAAGAAAAUUACCUUCUAGCACUAGCCAGAAAAGUUGUGGCUUAGGGUGGGUGGAAGCCCUGACCAUUGGAUUUUACUUUAAGUAGAUUCCUAUGGUUUUUAAAGGGGAAUGGGUACAGAGAAGCCAUGCAUCAAGAGAAGAAUUAGUUGAUGGGUUUUUUUUUAAAGCCAUUUCCAGCCAUAACCGGUUUGGCUCAGUGGAUAGAGCA